RNAcentral lists this ribosomal RNA (422 nucleotides) under uncultured bacterium. Its description in RNAcentral is "bacterial SSU rRNA". It matches the Rfam family "Bacterial small subunit ribosomal RNA", at positions 355 to 774 of the family's 1533-position model. The record is from RNAcentral.
UGAGGAAUAUUGGACAAUGGGCGCAAGCCUGAUCCAGCCAUGCCGCGUGCAGGAAGAAGCAUCUAUGGUGUGUAAACUGCUUUUGUACGGGAAGAAACACUCCUUCGUGAAGGAGCUUGUCGGUACCGUAAGAAUAAGGAUCGGCUAACUCCGUGCCAGCAGCCGCGGUAAUACGGAGGAUCCAAGCGUUAUCCGGAAUCAUUGGGUUUAAAGGGUCCGUAGGCGGUUUAGUAAGUCAGUGGUGAAAGCCCAUCGCUCAACGAUGGGACGGCCAUUGAUACUGCUAGACUUGAAUUAUUAGGAAGUAGCUAGAAUAUGUAGUGUAGCGGUGAAAUGCUUAGGUAAUACAUGGAAUACCAAUUGCGAAGGCAAGUUACUACUAAUGGAUUGACGCUGAUGGACGAAAGCGUGGGGAGCGAACA